This is a non-coding RNA of Pelobates cultripes (western spadefoot toad), 212 nucleotides long. The record is from the annotation of a GenBank genome assembly. NCBI's taxonomy places the organism in Eukaryota, Metazoa, Chordata, Amphibia, Anura, Pelobatidae.
AGCAUGUGUUAGAGGUUACCGUGACGCUCUGUUUAAAAUUGACUAGCAUAAUAUAAAGUACUAACAAAUCACUCGUCAGUAGCAAGCCUCAAGCCCCUUAAGCAUACUAACAUCUUGGCACAAAACCUCCUAGGUAGUCAGGGUGUAUACCCUACUGUGAAAAUGCUUAUGAGCUCUCCCCACUGAUAUUCUUACAGUCUGUCAACCAAUUU